UGACUAUUACCGUAAACAAAAAAAAAAAAAUAUGAAAAUAUAUACUACUUAUUCGAUACUACUUAUUAAGUAUGCUUGUUGCACCCAAAUAAGCCUUCAAAUCC
This is a long non-coding RNA of Ipomoea nil (Japanese morning glory), 104 nucleotides long. RefSeq lists it as uncharacterized. The transcript has 3 exons. The record is from RefSeq and is a predicted model, not a curated record. NCBI's taxonomy places the organism in Eukaryota, Viridiplantae, Streptophyta, Magnoliopsida, Solanales, Convolvulaceae.